RNAcentral lists this unclassified non-coding RNA (232 nucleotides) under soil metagenome. RNAcentral's name for it is "partial internal transcribed spacer 1". The record is from RNAcentral.
UUGAAUUUUAAUGAAGAGUUUGGUUGUAGCUGGCCCAUUCAUUUGGGCAUGUGCACACCUUCCUCUUUCAUCCCAUACACACCUGUGAACCUGUGAGACAGAGAUGGGGAAUUUACUUGCUGCUUUUUGGAAUACAAAGGCAAUAGGUUAUUGGACCCCCCCUCUGUCUACUCAAUUAAUAUAAACUCAAUUUAUUUUAAAACGAAUGUAAUGGAUGUAACACAUCUCAUAC